This 3510-nucleotide long non-coding RNA is filed under the name Daucus carota (carrot). RNAcentral's name for it is "long non-coding RNA (DCAR_LNC000559)". Lineage: Eukaryota; Viridiplantae; Streptophyta; Magnoliopsida; Apiales; Apiaceae. The record is from RNAcentral.
AUAAAUAAAAUACCAUCACCAUGUUUAACAAGAUAGUUCAGUACAAAUGUUGGACAAAGGGAAAAUGGAGGAGGUGAUCGAGCAAGAGUAUGAACAUCCAUAUUAUGCUCCCUACAAGAGAAGGUCAGCAAUAAUCCAACAGAUUCCCCAAUUGCAUACAUUGAUAACAUACUACAUGUUCUAUACACUAUAUCACAAGAACAGAUCAAGCUGUAGUUCAACUUCAGAAGUUUGACAAUGAUGAAUGCAAACAUGGUUUUUUUUUUUUUUUUUUUUUAANNNNNNNNNNNNNNNNNNNNNNNNNNNNNNNNNNNNNNNNNNNNNNNNNNNNNNNNNNNNNNNNNNNNNNNNNNNNNNNNNNNNNNNNNNNNNNNNNNNNNNNNNNNNNNNNNNNNNUAGAUCCACUCUAUUUCUUUCUCAUCCCUGAAACAAAGAAACAAAAUCUCACUAUUAAUAAUUAAAAAUAUUAGUAAUUAUUAAAAUCUCAGCAUCAAUAUAAUUUUACAAGAUAUAAGAGAAGAAAUAAUAAAUAUCAAAAGAAAAUAGAAAUAAAAAAAUAAAAAAUAAAAAGAAAAAUCUAACCAAAGGGAGACCUUUGGUUAGAUACUUAAAAAUACUUCAAGGAUAUUUUCCUAUUUUUAACAAUUAUGAUGUACUUUUCACUUGGCCAAGUCUCAUUACUAUUUAACAAUGAAUCAUACAAUUAAAGUUUGACAAAUAUGCCUCAGUAUAUUAUCAAGCAGUUAAUCAAACUUAAUUAUACAGGUCCUGUGCGAUUUUUCUAUUGAAUGACUAAACAUUUUCAGAGAUUCUUUGUCUGAAUAAUUAACCUCAUUCUCGACUCCUCAUGUCCCUGAUAUCCCAACAGUAUAUAUCCAUCUCUGUGUUUAACCUGAAGUAUAUCCCAAUCCAAAAUAAUGCAUCUCUCAGCAAUCAAUAAAAUAAGAGUUACAAAAUACAAGCAGCCAGAAUACCUAGUCCAUGCAUCUCUCAGUCUAUAGUUAACAAUCAUGCUACCAUUUCCUGCAAACAUUUUUUGAGAACACCCAAUAAUUACUUGUAAAUUCAAGUCUAUAUCUAUUGUCAUAAUAGAUGUUAUAUACCUUAAGCUGAGCACACACAGUGACUCCAACGUACACAUUACCGGGGAAAGGUACAUUUCCUAUAUAAAUUAGGAGAAAGUUAAACUUCACUGCUUUGGAAGUAGUAUUCUCACCUAUCAGUUAUGUUAAGUUAAAGAAUAUUUAUUUCUAAAUUUGCGAUCUCUCCUAAUAAGUUAAUAAGAUACUAAUUUGAAUUAGCACCCUCUUUAGAGUAGUUCUUAUCGUGCCAGCCUGUCAUUUAUAUAGUUUUCAGUUCCACAGCAUGAUCAUGUUAUUUAAAACUAUGCAGUCUUCACUGCAAGAUUUAAGGAAUUCAAUUAUAAUUAUCAUAACUAAUAGCUAAUGGAUUAAGUUAAACCUUAUGAUCUGGUAUUAUUGGAUACUUCUAUCAUGCUACUAAAUAUUAAUUCUAUGUUAUUAAUGUGUUAAUUAUAUAAACAGUCUAUUCAAAUUGCCUACCAUAAAUCUGUCAAUAAAGUGCAUGCUAUAAUUAAGGAGUUGACCAAUCUUGCCAAUCCGUGAAAUCCUCCAGGCUAAAAAGGAAUUAAUUUCUAUGCUAUUGAUGUGUUAAAUAUAUAAACAGUUUAUUCAAAUUGCCUACUAUAAAUCUGUCAAAAAAAGAGCCUGCUAUAAUUAAGGAUUUGACCAAUCUUGCCAAUCCGUGGAAUCCUGGCUAAAAAUGAAUUAAUUUAUAUUUGAACAAUCAUGUUACUUAUUAUUAGGAAUUUUUCGCUGCAGAAUUUAAGGGAUACAAUUAUGUCUAUCAUAUCUAAUUACUAAUGGAUUAAGUUACCUUUUGGUUAGAGUAUAAUUAGCAUCUUCUAUUUGAAGAUACCAUAACUUUACCAAAUAGUUACUCGGCACUAUUAAUGUGUUAAAUUUAUAUAUAUUGUCUAUUCAGAGUUCAUACUAUAAUUUGGGAUUUCCGGAGAAUCCUCUGGGCGUAAAUUGGGAAUUAAUUUAUAUUCCUUCACGCUUUUAUAUUAAAAUCGUGUUUGUAGUUUCCAUAAAUCCUCCAGUAUACAUCACCUAUUCCUAGCACUUUGGUAAAAAUAUCAGUUACGAAUGAAAUAAUAAGUGAAAUUUCAUGGCUUUAACCAUUCGUUUACCUAAUAUUUCCAUCACCCUUCUUUUUGUCAAACUGGUUACUUUAACAUGUUUUAUAUGUCAGAGAUCUCAUCCAUCAUAUAUGAUGAUACAUUGCCUCUUAAAGGCACUAAUUUGCCAUCCAUCAUGGCCCCCAUGAGUCAUAUAACAUCAUGGCACAUUUUCCUCGAAAUAAAUUAGUCUAUACUAAUUCUAAAGAAUAAAUAUAUAUCUACAUUAGAGGCAUGUAAAAAGAGAUUCUGACUAUUUAACCUUGCUAAAUAAACAGUAAAGAAUAGAAAGCAAUCUAACCGGGUAAACUAAAUUGAAAAGAAAAUAGAAUGAGUGGAAUCUCAAAGAAAAGGUACCUGCCGAGAAUCUAAAUGGAAAAACUAUAAAUCUAUCAUGAGUAAAACAACCAUCAGCAUUCCCGAUUAUACAUAUCAUUGCAUUCUAACUUAACAGUAAUACCGGAAUAAUAGGGGAGAGAAGACAAGUGGGAAAUAAACACAAGACAAGGUAGAAAUCUUUAACCGAUCACAAUAGCAACAUCAACUUAACACUUCUCAGCAUAUGAAGGAUAAAAUAAGAAUAUACCUCGUCUUACUGUUGUAUCUGACCCUUCAGAGAGUUAAACAUGACAUUUGCUGUAGUCGUUCUUUGACAUUGUAAGAGAGAGUUCCCUCUUCACUGCUUCUCCCCCUGCCAUGAGUCAUCUCCGCACGCUGCUGUGCGCUAUAUGAAAUUGAUUCUACUCCCCUCCUGAUUUGGACGAGCUUGGUUGACUUGGCUAUAGAUGGAUUGCCAUACAGCAAACAUCAUUUCUCUCCGUCAUUCCAUCAAACACCUCCCGAGCACAAUCCACAUACCUAUUUUUUGAACAACGCGAUGAGGAAAGUGACAAGCCCAGGAAGAACAUUGACACGAGCACCAGUCUCGACACACAGCUUCUUGACAGUCUCUCCUCUCUUGCCAAUGAUAGUAUAUAAAUAUGAUUGUUGGUUGGAAAUAAACAAGAUUAGAUCUUGGUUUUAUUGAAAAACUAGUAAAAUAAUAGAGGGAAUGAGAGAGCGAAUGAGUUAAUUGAUGAUGAAAAGAUGGUUGUUGUAGUUUAAGUUUCCGGUUAAUCGGGAGGUUCUUGCGGUGAUCUCUUUGUAUUAGUGACAUGUAUUAUGUGUAGUAUAAAUGCAAACAUGGUUUGUAAAUAAAUAUAUACAUAAAUUAUGCAUAUCAUUUAUUCCGAGUUGUACAUUAACAUCAAAAUAAAUAACAGCACAGGCGCAUUAGUCUUCUUAGAACUCAAACAUAAAACGAAUGCAGU